RNAcentral lists this long non-coding RNA (2938 nucleotides) under Sus scrofa (pig). Its description in RNAcentral is "lncRNA (ENSSSCG00005036711.1)". The record is from RNAcentral. Lineage: Eukaryota; Metazoa; Chordata; Mammalia; Artiodactyla; Suidae.
CACCCCAGCAGCAUAUGGAAGUUCCAGGCUAGGAUCUGAAUCAAGCCACAGCUGCAACCAAGGCCACAGCUGUGGCAACCCUGCAUCCUUAACCCACUGCACCAAGCUGAGGGCCGAAGUGGCACCACACGGAGACAAGCUGGAUCAUUAGUCCACUGUGCCACAGCAGGAACUCCUCUCACUGCUCUUUAAGAUGACAAAAUUUAUUCAAAAAAGUUAAACUAGAUGCUCAUAAAUUUGCUCACUACCUAAAAAUUCACUUUGCACACACUUACGACUUGUAGUCCACAACGCUUGCUAAUUUAGGUUAUCUCCCCCUUCGUAACAGAAAGAACAAAAUGUGGCAGACCUUUUCACAGCCAUGACUCACCUGUAAUUUCAAAUGAUACACUGUAAAUGAUUUCAAUUUAAAUACAAUUCAUUUUUAUUGUCCAAAGAUUCAGGGAUGGGAAGAAAAGUCCUAUUCUACAGUUUCUGAAUACAUUCCUAAUCCCUUAAAUUCAGCUAGCAAGGUUCUGCAUGUAACUAACAAGAAAAUACUACUCAAAGUACAAAGAGAAGAAAUCACGCAGCAGUAUAAACCUCUCUAAAUGCAGAAUAGCUACAAUGGGGAUGAGCGCCAGAGGGUAAAAGUGGUAUUUUUCCUGGUGGGAAGAUCUUCUUAGCGGUGCCCCGUAAAGACACCAAUCCUUUCCACCUAAAUGAUAGAUUUUGCUUAAAAAAAAAAAAAAUCAUAACUCUAGACAGCAGAGCAAAAAGUCCCAUCACAGACACUGACUGGAAGUAAAGGCAUCACGAGGAGAUGAUCUGAAGGGAAAGUUCCUUCACCAUCAGCUCCUUCCUAGCAGGUUUACGCUGCUCGAAACCAGACUUUUAUGGGCGCAUUACCGGUGUUUUUCCACAGCCACAAUGGCCCACGGGGAACACUUGUUUGACACUAUCUUCCAGCGAAACAGGUCUAGGCAUCUAUGUUGUAAAGAACUUUGAGGACUCGACUGAUUCCUUUUUAACAUUAAACCAGACAAAGAAAUUGUUGCUUUGGAAGAAUCCUGGCUUUUCCUGAAGAUUCUCUAUUGGCCUACUUUUCUCUGAAUGUGGGACAACCUUGAUUCAAAAGGAAAAUUUUUUAAUUCUGAAUUUCCACAAAAGGAAAUUAUCACUUGCAUAUUUAUUUCUUAAAGCGAUAAAACCCACUCAGUUGAUAACCCAAAACAGUGGCUGCUCAAGCCCUCUCCCUGCCCAAUUCUUAUCAACGGAGAUUUCAAGGAAUUUUAUAUAUACAUAUACACCAUUAUAUAAAGCUUUCUACAGAGGGAUCUUGUCAGAGUGGGUAUGUGUGAAUACAUAUAUUAAGACAUCUUUGCAGAGACGGUUCUGCACUGGUCUCAUAGCUCUGCGUGCCCUGAAAGCAGAAGUUCGACUCUUUGCUCCAGGUGCUUGCAAAACAGUGACCUUGGAGGACAGAGCCAGAGCCUCCCUCUAAAGCAAACAUUUGUGCUCCCUAAACUCAGGGCUGCUCUCUGUGUGCAGUGUCAUCCAGCCCACUUCAGGUCACCGAUGGUAGGUGGAGCUCAGGAAACUGACGCAAAAAUGCUGAUACUCAUGUCUUCUUACUGGCGUCCAUGCAACUAAAACAGGCUAAUUCACUGAAUAACUGUGUGGUGGGAGUUCCCACUAUGGCACAGUGGGUUAAGGAUCCAGGAUUGUCUCUGCAGUGGCUCGGGUCCUUGCUGAGGCAUGGGUUCGAUCCCCAGCCAGGGCAGCGGUUAAGGAUCCAGCACUGCAGCUGCACCACCGACUGCAGCUGCAGCUCGGAUUCGAUCCCUGGCCCGGGCACUUGGAUAUGCUGAGGGUACAGCCAAAACCAAAAAGUCAGGUGGAAAAAAUCCGAGCUCUCCCACGUUUCACUGUUUACUUGGGUUUUGAGAACGUAAGUGGUCAUCCAAUCCCAGGUCCUUUGUGAGCAGCGGAAAGGAUACCUUCCUGGCAUCCCUCUGCGAUGUAAUCAUUAACUAGACUACUAAGCUACCUGUUUUCUGGAUACUGGCUUCCAAAACCUUUUGCAUGUUUCUAGCCACGGGGCCUAUGUCUGAUGCUUAAAGAAGCCCUUGAUGUGACAGGCUCUCCAGCCAGUGGUUUUCAAAGAGCAGUCAAUGUAUGCAUUGUGUGAAAGACCCAGCCAAUACCUACGGCUCACCCAGUGAGACCACCGCUCCAGGAGCCGGGCCUCGUGAACAGUAAGAGGGCCCACCAUUAGCACCCGGCCCCCGUAACACCUUCCAAAUACUGAGGCAGUGCAGUUUGGUACAAAGAGGUCUCGUCCUAGCUCUGCAAGCCUGAAACGAAUGAGUCACCGCCGCCACCCCAUCUCGUUGCACGCUUCACCUGCCCUGCCGGCACACGAGGACCUUACUGGACAGUCAGAAGAUCCCUUCAGCUCUAAAAUCCUUCCCCUCUCAUGCUGCCGGUUACGCAAACUGCUUCGGCUCCAUGAAGACAUUCAUCUACCACGGCAGCCGCAGCCACAGCAAAUCAGCUGGACAUUCCUCCCAGACACGUGCCAUGCUAUCUCUGGGUUAGAAAACAAUGAAAACAAAUUCAGGUGAAUCAGCGUCUAAAGUCGAGGAGCCAAGAGGCGGGUAGGUAGCUGCAGUAUUAUUAUUCAAACCAGAUGCUGUUCGGCCCAGAGCUAAGCUGUCAAACAGCUCCGGCCCAGACAGAGUAAUGGGUUCGCCCCGAGCACAGCACCGGGGCGAGCUUCUGUCCCAGAGACGCUCUAGGUGUCGUUCAGAGCCUCGGAUACUAAGAAGGUGUUUUGUUAUCCAAAUGGAGUCUUCCUUUCGGGGCCAUCGGUUCAUGUCCCCGUAACAGUGCGUUUCUACUCCUUUGGGCCGUCAGUUCUGUCCCCGUAGCACUGUGUUUCUACUUGAAGUUCUUC